UCGACGGGCCGUGACUGGCGCGCUGGGAUGGACCAACCAUCGGGGAGCGGCCCCUGGACCCUGUCCAGACCGAGUGCCGUGCGCCUGGGCCGUACCG
This 97-nucleotide non-coding RNA is filed under the name Streptomyces sp. RNAcentral describes it as "ZTP sequence". It matches the Rfam family "ZMP/ZTP riboswitch aptamer (pfl RNA motif)". Rfam says of the family: Previously known as pfl RNA. RNAcentral also lists the same sequence under 1 other name. The record is from RNAcentral. Lineage: Bacteria; Bacillati; Actinomycetota; Actinomycetes; Kitasatosporales; Streptomycetaceae.